UAUAGGUCUACGUGGGCUUCAUUCCUAC
Molecule: small RNA, 28 nt
Filed under: Bombyx mori (domestic silkworm)
Lineage: Eukaryota; Metazoa; Arthropoda; Insecta; Lepidoptera; Bombycidae
Description: piRNA piR-bmo-1883646
Source: RNAcentral